UGAGUACGAGAUGCUACGGCGUCGAAGCAGUCUAGGUCAUACUUCCAAGAAAAGCUUGCACUGUCAUAAACAAAGAAUGCCUGUACCAUAACCGACACAGGUGGGUAGGUAGAGUAUACUAAGGGGCGCGAGAUAACUCUCUCUAAGGAACUCGGCAAAAUGACUCCGUAACUUCGGGAGAAGGAGUGCCUUAUUUUUAAGGUUGCAAUAACAAGAUCCAAGCAACUGUUUACCAAAAACACAGGUCUCCGCUAAGUCGUAAGACGAUGUAUGGGGGCUGACGCCUGCCCAGUGCCAGAAGGUUAAAGAAGUUGGUUAGCAUUUGCGAAGCUGAUAACUGAAGCCCUGGUGAACGGCGGCCGUAACAAUAACGGUCCUAAGGUAGCGAAAUUCCUUGUCGGGUAAGUUCCGACCCGCACGAAAGGCGUAAUGAUUUGGAUACUGUCUCGGAGAGGGGCUCGGUGAAAUAGACUUGUCUGUGAAGAUGCGGACUACCUGCACCUGGACAGAAAGACCCUAUGAAGCUUUACUGUAACUUGAGAUUGAAAUUGGACUUUAUUUGCGCAGUAUAGGUGGGAGGCGUUGAGAAUAAUCUUGCGGGAUUAUCGGAGCCAUCAGUGAGAUACCACUCUUGUAAUGUUAGAUUUCUAACUUUGUAUCAUUAUCUGGUCAAAGAACAGUUUCAGGCGGGCAGUUUGACUGGGGCGGUCGCCUCCCAAAGGGUAACGGAGGCGCACAAAGGUUUCCUCUGAACGGGUAGAAAUCGUAUCUAGAGUGUAAAGGCAUAAGGAAGCUUGACUGUGAGACCUACAAGUCGAGCAGGGACGAAAGUCGGUCUUAGUGAUCUGACGGUGCUGAGUGGAAAGGCCGUCACUCAACGGAUAAAAGUUACUCUAAGGAUAACAGGCUGAUCUCCCCCAAGAGUUCACAUCGACGGGGAGGUUUGGCACCUCGAUGUCGGCUCAUCGCAUCCUGGGGCGGUAGUACGUCCCAAGGGUUGGGCUGUUCGCCCAUGAAAGCGGUACGCGAGCUGGGUUCAGAACGUCGUGAGACAGUUCGGUCCAUAUCCGGUGUAGGCGUUAGAAUAUUGAAAGGAGCCUUCUCUAGUACGAGAGGACCGAGAAGGACAUACCUCUGGUGUGCCAGUUAUCGUGCCAACGGUAAACGCUGGGUAGCUAUGUAUGGAGUGGAUAACCGCUGAAAGCAUCUAAGUGGGAAGCCCACCUUAAGAUAAGUAUUCUCACC
This 1245-nucleotide ribosomal RNA is filed under the name metagenome. Its description in RNAcentral is "bacterial LSU rRNA". It matches the Rfam family "Bacterial large subunit ribosomal RNA", at positions 1564 to 2818 of the family's 2925-position model. The record is from RNAcentral.